Molecule: small RNA, 3324 nt
Filed under: Pan troglodytes (chimpanzee)
Lineage: Eukaryota; Metazoa; Chordata; Mammalia; Primates; Hominidae
Description: retained intron
Source: RNAcentral
UUUUAAAAUGCUGGUAAUGGUCUUUUUUUUCUUUUUUCUUGGCGAUUUUAAUGCUUUGGAAAAGAUCUCAUGGUUUUAUCUCCAAAGGAGGAAAUUAAUUUGAUGCCAUGGAAAUUAGUUUUCUAGUCGUAUGCCUUGAAUGAGUGAAGAAUUUCUUUUUCAUGGUGGUACUAAAUUUGGGGAAAGCUAUAGAAACUUUCAUCUGGAAGCUUACACUUUUCCUCUUUUUUGAAAAUUUGGUGAGAGACUUGGAUAUUUUAUUAUUUUCUGUAAAAGAUUGUAAUUUGUUGUACAGGUCUAAUAUUGAUCCUUUUUUGGAAGUAUGGAAAGAAUCUGAGUAUAAAGCAGAAUUACCUCUGGAUGACAUGUAUUCUCAAGGACAUUGUCACAGUGAAACAGUUUAUUUAGAAGCUUGUGUUUCCAAACUGUUGAAUUUGAUAUUCACAAAAUUGGCAUGUGUAAACUUUGUUAAACUUUAAGCUAUUUCCUAAGAUGAAGAUGACAAACUUGGAGGGAAACUUCAUUCAUUUGGUUUAUUUUUAUUUUUAUUUUUAUUUAUUUUUAUCUUUUUGAGACAGAAUCUCACUCUGGUUUGAGACAGAAUCUCACUCUGUCCCCCAAGUCGGAGUGCAGUGGUGCGAUCUCGGCUCACUGAAACCUCUGCCUCCUGGGUUCAAGCGAUUCUCCUGCUUCACCCUCCAGGUAGCUGGGAUUACAGGUGUGCACCACCACACCCAGCUAAUUUUUGUAUUUUUAGUAGAGACGGUUUCGCCACAUUGGCCAGGUUGGUGUCAAACUCCUGGCCUCAAAGUGAUCCGCCCACCUUGGCCUCCCAAAGUGGAGCCCCUGUGCCCCUUGUUUGUGACCUGUCAAUAUAAAUAUGCUCAGUAGUGGGGGGAGGGGUGGGGGGUGAAAAAGGAAAUACGUUUAAUAUUAAGACUUUGGCCUUUUAGUGUAAACUGAUAUUCAAAAAUUUCUUCAUAGAACAUUUGCUUCUUUGCUUGAUCAUUUUUCUAAUUCUGUACAUCUAAAAUGCCCAGAAUUUGAGUUGCUGUUAUAGUCUACUAACAUAGAACUUUGGAGUAAUAAGAUGGGAAUUUGUCUCUCUUUUGCCAAGACAAGCAUUCGUAAUCUAACACAGUAUUGUUGCCACGAGUACGAGUAUGUGAUAGACUGUUGAGAAUAAAGAAAGCAGGCACAGUUGGUCAGUCCUGAGAUAAAGGAGAUGUUUUUUCUUAUAUGUUUGUGCAUUAAAGAAAAAAAAAUCUUGAAUCUGACCAAUGAUGUUUUUUUUCCUUGUAAGAAAAUUUAACAAAUGUUUGGCAAGCUUCUGGAAUCUAAAUUUGAAAUUAUACAUUUGUCAUUUUCUUUAAAUAUUUCUUCACCUUAGCUUUGAUUAUGAGAAAUCACUGUCCUCUGCUGUUCUUUUUUUUUUUUUUUUUCUUUUGAGGCGGAGUCUCACUCUGUGCCAGGCUGGAGUGCAGUGGUGCAAUCUCGGCUCACUGCAACCUCCACUUCCUGGGUUCAGAUGAUUCUCCUGCCGCAGCCUCCCGAGUAGCUGGGACUACAGGUGCGUGCCACCACACCCAGCUAAUUUUUGUAUUUUUGGUAGAGACAGGGUUUCACCACGUUGUCCAUGGCCAGGAUGGUCUUGAUCUUGACCUUGUGAUCCGCCCACCUCGGCCUCCCAAAGUGCUGGGAUUGCAGGCGUGAGCCACCGCGCCCAGCCUGUCCUCUGUGGUUUUCUCGGCUUAUGUUAAAAUUGUAACUCAAUCACCAGUCUUUAUAAAUUUGCUUUUUUAUAUUUAAACCAAACUUAAUGCUAAUUGUGAUAUGUUAUUUAUUCUCACCUGAUUUGAAUCAUUGGAUUCAAUUAAAUGAGUUUAAUUAUCAUUAAAUAAUUCUAAGAGAAAUAAUGUCUAUUCGGAUGGUGGGAAUUUUCUUUCUACAUGCAGCCCCAUUCUGAAUGAAUGAAAUCAAAUCACGUGAAGAUCAGGGUCCUAGAGUAACUUAAUAUUUUGUACAUUGGUUAUUUGACUCCUCAUUUUUAUAUUACAUGUUAUAUCAAGGGAGGGGGUAUAAAAAAAAACAAAAAUUGCAGAGGUAUUUGGAAUGUACCUAUUUGUUAAUUCUAUUUGUCAUUUCUUUUGUUUCAUCUUUUGAGUAGUAAGCUGCUUGGAAAAGUUUCUGUUCUUUAGCUGAUUUUUUAGCUAUAAAAAUGUAUUUGAAAAGCUCAUAAAUUUCAGGAUUGAAAAGAUAAUUGAAAGUUUUAAAAAAACCUAAUUCAUUGAAGUAAUAACCAAAUAAUUUUCAAUCUUGAUUCAACUGUGAUUCAAAUCUUACACCAUUUGCCCACUUCUAUGAAUUUUAUGUAUAAAAAUUUUUAAGAGUCAGAGUUUUUUUUCUUGAUUAAUUGGAUGUAUUUCACAGAAUUUCCAACUGCUCACGUUAGUUUUCUUCCUUUUAGAGUUGAUCUCUCUAAUGUAUUAGAUCUUCAUGCCUUUGAUAGUCUCUCUGGAAUAAGUUUGCAGAAAAAACUUCAGCAUGUGCCAGGAACACAACCUCACCUUGAUCAGAGUAUUGUUACAAUCACAUUUGAAGUACCAGGAAAUGCAAAGGAAGAACAUCUUAAUAUGUUUAUUCAGAAUCUCCUGUGGGAAAAGAAUGUGAGAAACAAGGACAAUCACUGCAUGGAGGUCAUAAGGCUGAAGGGAUUGGUGUCAAUCAAAGACAAAUCACAACAAAUGAUUGUCCAGGGUGUCCAUGAGCUCUAUGAUCUGGAGGAGACUCCAGUGAGCUGGAAGGAUGACACUGAGAGAACAAAUCGAUUGGUCCUCCUUGGCAGAAAUUUAGAUAAGGAUAUCCUUAAACAGCUGUUUAUAGCUACUGUGACAGAAACAGAAAAGCAGUGGACAACACGUUCCAAAGAAGAUCAAGUUUGUACAUAACACUAGAGGCAUUUCUUAUCAAAAGGAUUGGAUAAUAAAAAUAAGUUUCUACUGGGUAUAUUUCAAGCAUUUAUUUAUUACUUUAGUUACGAAUUCCAAUAUACUUUAAAAUGGUAUUUGUUUUACAGCAUACAUAAAAUGUAGCAAAUCAGUACUGUAAAACAUUUAACAUUCAUACAAUUAUAUAUAAUAUCCUUUUUUUUAAAGAAUGGUAUUUCACAAAAAUAUCUUUUGAAAUUGGCUUUGGAGUUUACAUAUACUGAACAUGAAAGUUUAUAAUAAUGAUGAUACAACUUUCAACAUUGUCAUUUUUUCUUAGAACUUCAGCUGAUUGCAGAGAUAUAAUGAUUACAUUGUUAUUAAAUUUUUUUAACAC